Molecule: long non-coding RNA, 1302 nt
Filed under: Homo sapiens (human)
Lineage: Eukaryota; Metazoa; Chordata; Mammalia; Primates; Hominidae
Description: HSALNT0384633
Source: RNAcentral
AGUAGAAUGAGGUGGCUUGUCAUCUGGGCUGGCUGGGCCCUGACUUCUCAGACACAGAAAGGUCUUUGUGAGGGAAUUUGGACCUGGGGGAUUUGGGGACUAAGUACUGUGUUCAUCAGGCAAUCAAUCCAAGCAAUUAUCAGCCACAAAAACAAAUAUGUUUGGAUUUUCGACACUCAUAGGAGAGGAGCAACACAUUUAUUGAUUGAUUGAAUGAGACAAGGUCUGGCUCUGUCGCCCAGGCUGGAGUGCAGCGACAGGAUCUCGGCUCACUGCAAUCUCUGCCUUCUGGAUUCAAGCCAUCCUCCCACCUCAGCCUCCCAAGAAGCUGGGACUACAGGUGUGUGCCAUGACACCCGGCUAAGUUUUUGUACUUUUUUGUAGAGACGGGGUUUUACCAUGUUGCCCAGGCUGGGCUCAAACUCCUGAGCUCAAGCAAUCCGCCUACCUUAGCCACCCAAAGUGCUGAGAUUACAGGCAUGAGCCACCGCACCUGGUCAAGGGAGGAGCAAUUCAGAAUGGCAAAAACAGAGCUGACACUGUUUGUAGACAUACAGACCUGGGUUUGAAUCCUGACUCUGUCUUUAGAACCUUUCACAACUAGACCCAACUUCACCGCUGUGGGGGAUAACAAUAGUUGCCAGCUCUUAUGGAGUGAAUGUUAGUGUCUCUCCCAUCAAAUCCUACCCGUGAUGUGAUGGUACUAGGAGGUGGGACCUUUGGGAGGUAAUUAGAAGUAGAUGAGAUCAUGAGGGUGGGGCCUCGACAAAUGGGAUUUGUGCCUUAUAAGAGUCAAAAGAGAACUUGCGUCUUCUCUCUGCUCUCUGCCAUGUGAGGACACAGGGAGAGGUCAGUGGUCCACAACCCAGAAGACAGCCUCCACCAGAGCUCAACCAUGCUGGCACCCUGAUACCGGACUUCCAACCUCCAGAACAAUACAGAAGUUGACUAAGACACACAUCAUGAAAAAUGCAAGGUGAAGUUUCACUUUAAUUUCAGCUUUUGUAUUGGAAAUGCAUUUGGAUGACUUUCUUCCCUACUGCUGGGAUUGAACAUUUGAUCUUCUUUGCCCUUGGUCGGUGUCGACCAGAAGAACGUGGGUGUCUGCGAGGUAGCAAGAGAUCAAGGACAAGUUCCCAUCAGGAGCCUGACAAUCCCAGCUCCAGGUGUCAACAAACAUUGUGUUUUAAAUAUUUUUAGGAGACAAGAGGACCUGAAAAGGAGUCCUUUCUGGCCGGGGGUUAUCUAGGUCUUGGGAGAGGUGUCAGGAGGGAUAGCUGGGGCCGCUGGCGUCAAAGGACC